GAGUUUGAUCUUGGCUCAGAUUGAACGCUGGCGGCAUGCCUUACACAUGCAAGUCGAACGGCAGCACGGGAGCUUGCUCCUGGUGGCGAGUGGCGAACGGGUGAGUAAUGCAUCGGAACGUAUCCUGGAGUGGGGGAUAACGUAGCGAAAGUUACGCUAAUACCGCAUAUUCUGUGAGCAGGAAAGCGGGGGACCUUCGGGCCUCGCGCUCUUGGAGCGGCCGAUGUCGGAUUAGCUAGUUGGUGAGGUAAAGGCUCACCAAGGCGACGAUCCGUAGCAGGUCUGAGAGGAUGAUCUGCCACACUGGAACUGAGACACGGUCCAGACUCCUAC
Molecule: ribosomal RNA, 333 nt
Filed under: bacterium enrichment culture clone ALO1_GLFRUDD03GLVWS
Lineage: Bacteria
Also listed under: 1 other name
Description: bacterial SSU rRNA
Rfam family: Bacterial small subunit ribosomal RNA
Source: RNAcentral